CCUACGUGGGGCAGCAGUGAGGAAUAUUGGUCAAUGGACGAGAGUCUGAACCAGCCAAGUAGCGUGAAGGAUGACUGCCCUAUGGGUUGUAAACUUCUUUUAUAUGGGAAUAAAAUGUUCCACGUGUGGGAUUUUGUAUGUACCAUAUGAAUAAGGAUCGGCUAACUCCGUGCCAGCAGCCGCGGUAAUACGGAGGGUCCGAGCGUUAUCCGGAUUUAUUGGGUUUAAAGGGAGCGUAGGUGGAUUGUUAAGUCAGUUGUGAAAGUGUGGGGCUCAACCGUACAAUUGCAGUUGAAACUGGCAGUCUUGAGUACAGUAGAGGUGGGCGGAAUUCGUGGUGUAGCGGUGAAAUGCAUAGAGAUCACGAAGAACUCCGAUUGCGAAGGCAGCACACUGGACUGCAACUGACACUGAGGCGCGAAAGUGUGGGUAUCAAACAGGAUUAGAUACCCGGGUAGUC
This 460-nucleotide ribosomal RNA is filed under the name uncultured bacterium. RNAcentral's name for it is "partial 16S ribosomal RNA". It matches the Rfam family "Bacterial small subunit ribosomal RNA", at positions 338 to 795 of the family's 1533-position model. The record is from RNAcentral.